GAUUCCAUUGUAAUUUAUUAAUUAUUUUACCCGUCAACGGUGAUGUUCUUCUUCCGCAACAAGCACAUCAUGAUUGAUCUUGGGACAAGAAACAACAACAAGAUCAACUGGGCAAUGAAAGACAAGGAAGAGUUUGUUGACAUCGUGGAGACUAGGAGCUCGUAAGGCCGUCGUCUGGUGAUUGCUCCCAGGGAUUACUCCACCAAAUACAGGUACUGA
Molecule: ribosomal RNA, 219 nt
Filed under: Triticum aestivum (bread wheat)
Lineage: Eukaryota; Viridiplantae; Streptophyta; Magnoliopsida; Poales; Poaceae
Description: partial small subunit ribosomal RNA
Source: RNAcentral